GGAGUGAGCAACUACAUUUCCCAAAAUAUGGUAACCUUCGAGCAAUUUAGGGUUUCCAAUUGGUGAGCCGUGGAACCGAGUGCCUGCAUUGUUGAUUCCAGAGGGUUUUACGUGGUUGAGGGGAAGACACUCGAUCGAGAUUUGCACAGGUAAUACUCACUUUAGUCUUUGAUUAUUUAGGGUUUCCAAUUGGUGAGCCGUGGAACCGAGUGCCUGCAUUGUUGAUUCCAGAGGGUUUUACGUGGUUGAGGGGAAGACACUCGAUCGAGAUUUGCACAGGUAAUACUCACUUUAGUCUUUGAUUAUUUAGGGUUUCCAAUUGGUGAGCCGUGGAACCGAGUGCCUGCAUUGUUGAUUCCAGAGGGUUUUACGUGGUUGAGGGGAAGACACUCGAUCGAGAUUUGCACAGGUAAUACUCACUUUAGUCUUUGAUUUACCUAGGCUUCAAUUUGAGAGCCAUAAUGAAGAUUUUUUGUUGCUCCAAAAUGCAGUUUACAUGUUUGUAUUGUCCUUGUAGUAUAGCGAUCAUUUCUUUUGGCUUGAUGAUUUUAUUUGUACGUAUUCUUUGAUUGGCCCAGAAAUAGAGUAGAUCGACCAUAAUCGAAGCAUAUAGAAAAACAUCUACUUUUUGUUGGAGUAACAUAUAAUGUUGCCACUGUUUGAUUGUGGCAUGGCGUAUGAGACCUGGUCUUAGCCCUCACUGUGAUACUAACCAAAGGAUUUGGUUAGAUGAUAGUGGAGAAAAAGGUGAUGUAGGACUCCUCUCCAGCACUAUAUAACCUGCAACGGUUAAGAAAAGGGGAUUAGGUGUAGAAGUCAUAUUGGAGUAUUAUCUAUACCACAUGAAUUUAUGCCGAGGUAGGAUAUUUAAUUCUAUUAGAAGCUUCCAGUUUAUAUGAUUUGCUCUGUGUCUGAGGUUUGUGAAUGUUUUACGUAGGAGUUAGUAGGCUGUUAUAAGGUCAACUAUUUAUUUUCUUGUGUGUGCCGAGAGCCCAUUAAGUUUGGGAAGGGUGUGAAGUGUUGAUGGGAGUUGACAUUAUUGAUUAGACUAUGUGAACAGGGUCUAGGGAGAUGACAUGGGAGUAAUCCCAUUGGUGGGUAGUAGGGUUUACUGUUGGACAUUUGUGAGCUGAGAAGUGAUUGGAGGGGGGUUAAAAUGAAUUUUUAAGGAAGGGAUCCAAGGGUCCGACUGAGUCUGGGUUAAUUUCGUUGUAGCAAACGAUAUGUAAUAUAUGUUUUGUUUUGAGAAUACCAUUCCAUAGAUAAGAAUCUUUUGUUGCUAGGACUAUGAACUUUCAAUACCAUUCAUAAUGGAUUAAUCUAUUUGAAUUAAUGAUAUCCAAAUCAUAUUAGUUCUCUGGUUACUGGAUAUUUUAUCAUACUGUAUUUGUUACAAAAAGCCGUCCACAUAAACAUACAAACUCUAGUAAUUGAGGAUCAGUAAGAAUUAUUGGUGGUAGUGAAUUUAGUGGAAAAAGAGCGAGAAUGAGAUGGAAUAGAUGGAGUAGAAUUUUGAUCUCAGUCAGAACAGAAGGAAGAGAAGUUAUGGAUGUUGAAGAAGAAAAAAGUUGGCGAUCUAUGGCUACAAAUGGCAACAAAGCGUACUUUUAUUUUUUAAAUUGUGUCGAGUUUGCAGGUUAUUUGACUUGCAUAUGACCUGCUCAUUAAUAAAAAUUUUAUACUCUUUACAUAUGGUUACAUUUAUAUAUUCUUUAUAUGUUUAUAUUAAUAAAAAAGUUAUAUUAAUAUAUUUAUGUUUGUCUUCAUAAAAAUGAAAUAUGCAUAAUGAGUCGGGCUUCGCCAGAUUUUAAUAAACCAAACCCGAACAUUCCUGCUCUGGUAUAAUUUUUCUGCCAACACGAACCUGAUUCAACUUGAACUUGCUGUUUGUUAAAAAAAAAACUGCUACAGGUCAGGUUCAGGCAGAUUGAUUUAUGCAAGUUUGGGAAAAAGAAAUUCAUCCCUAUCUGUGACUCUAAUACCAUGUCAAGUAAACAGAUAAUAGGUGAAGAGUUGUUAUUAGUAUUGUACUUCCAUCAAGUAUAUGUAGGUAUAUGAGAUGAUAUAAGUACAUGAAGCAUUUGAAAAUACAAUAAAUGUAAGAUUACUCCAAAAGAGAUAGGUACAAUAAAUGAAGUAUUUGAUAAAAUACAAUAAAUGAAAAAUACAAUAAAUAACGUUUGUCACUGAAUUAACUCAUAAAUAAUUCAUGCAAUGCUUACUCUAAAAGAGAUCAAAAAAGUUACUUAAGCGAUAUGUGCACUUAACUAGGUACAUAUAAAAUAUAUAUAUAUAUUUAUUUUGAAGAAGAAGAGAGCACAAUUUAUUUUGUUAUAUAUGGUGAUGGGAGCUAAAUUAAUUAGUUUAGUCUCCAUUGCUUGGCCACACAAGAUAGUGAUUCAUAAGAAGACCCCCCAUAAUCUAAUGAUUUUAAAGCGCUAUCUUUUAGUUCCUUAACUCUGCACCUAAUAGCCUUUCCUUCCUCACCCUCCAUUAGUACUCUCACCACUCUCUCUAUCUCUUCACGUCUAACCACUGUCUUUCCUCUCUCCACCUCGGGCCUGAUUGCUAGCUUUACCUCCUCUGUCAGAAAUGUUGCAUUCGUUCUCUGUUCUGCAUAAAGGGGCCAAGUGAUCAUUGGUACGCCAUGAGUUAUGCUUUCAAGUGAUGAAUUCCAUCCGCAGUGAGAUAGGAAACCGCCUGUUGAUGGAUGGCGGAGUACUGUGGUUUGUGGAGCCCAUGAUGGAAUCACCAGACCCAAUGCGUUAGUCCUCUCAAGGAAUC
This 2784-nucleotide long non-coding RNA is filed under the name Carica papaya (papaya). Its description in RNAcentral is "long non-coding RNA (CPAP_LNC008070)". The record is from RNAcentral. Lineage: Eukaryota; Viridiplantae; Streptophyta; Magnoliopsida; Brassicales; Caricaceae.